RNAcentral lists this ribosomal RNA (253 nucleotides) under uncultured bacterium. RNAcentral describes it as "partial 16S ribosomal RNA". It matches the Rfam family "Bacterial small subunit ribosomal RNA", at positions 524 to 776 of the family's 1533-position model. The record is from RNAcentral.
UACGUAGGGUGCGAGCGUUGAUCGGAAUUACUGGGCGUAAAGCGUGCGCAGGCGGUUGUGUAAGACAGAUGUGAAAUCCCCGGGCUUUACCUGGGAACUGCGUUUGUGACUGCACGGCUAGAGUACGGCAGAGGGGGGUGGAAUUCCUGGUGUAGCAGUGAAAUGCGUAGAGAUCAGGAGGAACAUCGAUGGCGAAGGCAGCCCCCUGGGCCUGUACUGACGCUCAUGCACGAAAGCGUGGGGAGCAAACAGG